CGAAACACGCUGAACAGACGAAGUACCGCCGAGGUUUUUCACAGAGAGGUUCUCACUUGCUGGAAGAGAGCUAAAAACUUGCGGGAAAUGCAUCUGGGAGUGGAUCCGUCAAAAGCGGAUACGGGUAGUGACCGUUACCCACUAAAAGGCAAGGAGCAAUCCUUGUAAAGAAAAGUGGAACCACGCGAAAAAGCGUCUUUUAA
RNAcentral lists this non-coding RNA (203 nucleotides) under Enterococcus asini. RNAcentral's name for it is "T-box sequence". It matches the Rfam family "T-box leader". From Rfam's summary of the family: Uncharged tRNA acts as the effector for transcription antitermination of genes in the T-box leader family. T-boxes are found upstream of many aminoacyl-tRNA synthetase genes and some amino acid biosynthetic genes usually in Gram-positive bacteria. The anticodon of a specific tRNA base pairs to a specifier sequence within the T-box motif, and the NCCA acceptor tail of the tRNA base pairs to a conserved bulge in the T-box antiterminator hairpin. Lineage: Bacteria; Bacillati; Bacillota; Bacilli; Lactobacillales; Enterococcaceae. The record is from RNAcentral.